This 1808-nucleotide long non-coding RNA is filed under the name Arabidopsis lyrata. RNAcentral's name for it is "long non-coding RNA (ALYR_LNC002451)". Lineage: Eukaryota; Viridiplantae; Streptophyta; Magnoliopsida; Brassicales; Brassicaceae. The record is from RNAcentral.
UCAAAAACCACAUGCAACUCAUCAAAGAAAACUAAAUAUUACAAGAUAUGAAAGAGAAAAUAAUUAUAACUUGCCUUGAUAAUAAAUUCACAUAUCAAUAUAUUAUAUUUGAGCAAAUAUAAGGUGAAACGAGAGUAGAUGGUAGGAGGCGGAGAAUGUAUCGUAUAAAAUGACGAAAAAAUAGUAAUAAAAAGUGUUUUAAAAAAUCUACUAAACCUUACAAAGAUAAUGCACAUGACUAAAUAAUUUUUUUUUUUUUUUUCAUAAUUCAUUCAUUAUGUGAAACGAAUGAGUUUUAAAAAUAUACAUUACAUAGAUUAGUAGACUAAUUGAAAGAUUCAUCAUCGGGUUUAAUUGUUUAGCCUCAUGUAAGUGAUGUAUCAUAGAUUUUAAUGUUUUUAGCCAUGAUAUAUGUGUCAGUUUUAAAAACUUUUUGUUGUUUUUAUAGUCUUUUCUACUCUUUUAAGGUUUUUACACGUUCAAGACAAAUUUGGAGAUAAGAAAUCAUUCUUGAGCUAAACCAGAGAUUAAGAGCUGAAGAAACGAAUUCGGUGUCAGACGACCAAGGCAUGAAUGUCUCAUACCUGCUGAUCACUCUGCUUCUAGCGGAUCUUUCUAAGCGAAUCCCUGAAGGCAUAUUGGUGAAUGUUUAAUUUAGGGUUCUUAAGGAUGGGUUACAUUAGGGUGGAAUCUUUAAUUUGUCAGGUGGUUAAGUUUAGAUUAUUUAAAUCCUUUCUGGAUUAGUAGUACUUAAUGCUAAUUCUCAUCUAAUCGAGUAGAAUAUGAGCCUUGGCAUUUCUACACCUAGAAGGUGUUUAAUGAAAUGUAUGAACCACUAAUUCCAGAGAUUUGCGUCUCUAUCCCAAGGGAUUGGCCGUUUAGAACGCUUAUUGGCUUUAACAUGUUGAUUCUUAACGUCUGCUUUGUUAGAUUUCGUCAAUAGGAAUCGAUUCUAGAAUUAGCUUUGCUUGAAGGUUUUUAUUACGGAAGUGGGGAUUGAUAUGUUGUUUAACAUGUUGUCUAGGGAUAGCUUGAUUAAGUUUGUUAACCACCUGAUAGGUUAAGGAGACCAUUUUAUUCGAUUACCCCAUCCUUAAGAAUUUCUCAUCCAUUUGAAUCUAUGUUUACUUACUUGUUAUUUGCUUGUUCUAUUGCAUGUUGCUAAGUUCUGACAUUUCUACCUGUUUUUUCACAUCAAUCUUUAUCACACCUUCCAUCUAGCAACAAACUGUGUCAAUAGAGUAUAGAGUCAAUUUCUGUAAUUUUAUAGUUUUCUGCAUGGUAUACUCGAUCACACACUGCCUCUGACAUUGAGUUGUGCGAUCGAGUACAUAGUAGUAUCCUUAUAGUUUUAUUGCUUUGUGCAUGAUCACUUAGGACUAUUAGAAAACCAAACCUGUUUUGUUUGGUUUGACUUAGUGACAUCUUAUCAUAUCUUGAUUGAUAACAUCACUCCUGAAGGGAUUGACACCUUAAGUACUGCAAUGACAUGAUAGUAAUAUAGGAUAAUUGAGACUAGUAAAAAAUCUUACUAUCAGUAGUAAAUUAAGAUCAUUACUUAGUGGGUCUAACCACAAACCAAACAAACCUCUAGAAUCUUUGAUAGGUUGUCCUCUUCUAUUGAAAUCAACCAUAACCUGCCGAUUUAGCAUGCUCCACACUUCUUUUCCUGAAAUCAUUUUCUCUGUAAUGUUUCUCUCACCAUUUAAAUCACAAAAACAUGACGUUUCAGAGAGAAGGUGGAGCUAAGGAAUCUUCAUUUCCAACACAUCAAGGAAAAUGAAGACUAUAAACCAACUUAGUGAAUA